Molecule: ribosomal RNA, 560 nt
Filed under: uncultured Glomeromycotina
Lineage: Eukaryota; Fungi; Glomeromycota
Description: bacterial SSU rRNA
Rfam family: Eukaryotic small subunit ribosomal RNA
Source: RNAcentral
UUGGAGGGCAAGUCUGGUGCCAGCAGCCGCGGUAAUUCCAGCUCCAAUAGCGUAUAUUAAAGUUGUUGCAGUUAAAAAGCUCGUAGUUGAAUUUCGGGAUUCUUCCGUUGGUCAGGCUAACAAGUCUGUACUAGCGUGUAGAAUCUCUACCUUCUGGGGAACCAUCAUGUUAUUAAUUUAGCGUGGUGGGAAACCAGGACCUUUACCUUGAAAAAAUUAGAGUGUUCAAAGCAGGCAUUUGCUUGAAUAGAUUAGCAUGGAAUAAUAGAAUAGGACGUUGGUUCUAUUUUGUUGGUCUAGGACCACCGUAAUGAUUAAUAGGGAUAGUUGGGGGCAUUAGUAUUCAAUUGUCAGAGGUGAAAUUCUUGGAUUUAUUGAAGACUAACUAUUGCGAAAGCAUUUGCCAAGGAUGUUUUCAUUAAUCAAGAACGAAAGUUAGGGGAUCGAAGACGAUCAGAUACCGUCGUAGUCUUAACCAUAAACUAUGCCGACUAGGAAUCGGGCGACGUUAUUUUCAUGACUCGCUCGGCGCCUUAUGGGAAACCAAAGUGUUUGGGUUC